This 802-nucleotide ribosomal RNA is filed under the name uncultured bacterium. RNAcentral describes it as "bacterial SSU rRNA". It matches the Rfam family "Bacterial small subunit ribosomal RNA", at positions 560 to 1361 of the family's 1533-position model. The record is from RNAcentral.
GUAAAGGGAGCGUAGGUGGCUCGAUAAGUCAGAUGUGAAAUCCCCGGGCUCAACCUGGGAACUGCAUCUGAUGCUGUUGAGCUAGAGUAUGUGAGAGGAAGGUAGAAUUCCAGGUGUAGCGGUGAAAUGCGUAGAGAUCUGGAGGAAUACCGAUGGCGAAGGCAGCCUUCUGGCAUAAUACUGACACUGAGGCUCGAAAGCGUAGGUAGCAAACAGGAUUAGAUACCCUGGUAGUCCACGCCGUAAACGAUGUCUACUAGUCGUUGGGUCCCUUGAGGACUUAGUGACGCAGCUAACGCAAUAAGUAGACCGCCUGGGGAGUACGGCCGCAAGGUUAAAACUCAAAUGAAUUGACGGGGGCCCGCACAAGCGGUGGAGCAUGUGGUUUAAUUCGAUGCAACGCGAAGAACCUUACCUGGUCUUGACAUAUCUAGAAUCCUGCAGAGAUGCGGGAGUGCCUUCGGGAAUUAGAAUACAGGUGCUGCAUGGCUGUCGUCAGCUCGUGUCGUGAGAUGUUGGGUUAAGUCCCGCAACGAGCGCAACCCUUGUCCUUAGUUACCAGCGGGUUAAGCCGGGAACUCUAAGGAUACUGCCAGUGACAAACUGGAGGAAGGCGGGGACGACGUCAAGUCAUCAUGGCCCUUACGACCAGGGCUACACACGUGCUACAAUGGUAGGUACAGAGGGCAGCUACACAGCGAUGUGAUGCGAAUCUCAAAAAGCCUAUCGUAGUCCAGAUUGGAGUCUGCAACUCGACUCCAUGAAGUAGGAAUCGCUAGUAAUCGCGGAUCAGAAUGCCGCG